UCACAUGAGAAUGAUAAUCUUAUGUGAGAAUACUUAUCAACCAUUAGAUUAAAAUAGAUGGUAUAGAUUAAAAGAUUUAUUUUAAAUGACACAUGUGCUUUCCACAUCUCAUCCAAUCUCUUGAAGUGUUCACCUCCUUUCUCCAUGAGUUUCUGAUCUCUGAUUCUUCUCCAAUCUACGGAUGCUCCUUCAAUUUUCUGACUUACAAAAAACAUGAUUGAAGGGGUUUUCAGUAUUAAAUUCUCCAUCAGACUCCAUAGCUAAUUGAUCCACCGUGUAGUUUCUCUAUAUUCUAUAAUUUCAAGUCACGGUUCUCUUCUCUCAAAUUUGCAAUCAACACUUUUUUUUAAUUAAAUCAACAAAAUUGCUACGUGAUUAAGGAAAUCAACAAAUUUAUUUUUAUUUCUUCAACAUUGAUGGUGUGAAAGAAAUUAAGUUUUUAAAUUAAUUAAACUGAUUGAAAUCACCUUCAACGUUAAUGGUGUGAAAGAUAUUAGCGGCGGCUAGGUGAUUGUAUUUUCAUUAAAGAUUAUGGCAAGUGAUUUUGUAGACUUUGUUCUUGUUUGACGUUAACAAAUUUUACAGAUGUUUGUGGAUUGGAGAGGGAAGAAGAUGAACGGAUCAAGAGAUUGA
This 633-nucleotide long non-coding RNA is filed under the name Medicago truncatula (barrel medic). Its description in RNAcentral is "long non-coding RNA (MTRU_LNC001078)". Lineage: Eukaryota; Viridiplantae; Streptophyta; Magnoliopsida; Fabales; Fabaceae. The record is from RNAcentral.